Molecule: ribosomal RNA, 253 nt
Filed under: uncultured bacterium
Lineage: Bacteria
Also listed under: 1 other name
Description: partial 16S ribosomal RNA
Rfam family: Bacterial small subunit ribosomal RNA
Source: RNAcentral
GACAGGGGAUGCAAGCGUUAUCCGGAAUGAUUGGGCGUAAAGCGUCUGUAGGUGGCUCCUUAAGUCCGCUGUCAAAUCCCAGGGCUCAACCCUGGACAGGCGGUGGAAACUACUAAGCUGGAGUACGGUAGGGGCAGAGGGAAUUUCCGGUGGAGCGGUGAAAUGCGUAGAGAUCGGAAAGAACACCAAAGGCGAAGGCACUCUGCUGGGCCGACACUGACACUGAGAGACGAAAGCUAGGGGAGCGAAUGGG